UCGAGUCUUUGAACGCAAGUUGCGCCCGAGGCCCACCGGCCGAGGGCACGCCCGCCUGGGCGUCAAGCAUCGCGUCGCUCCUUGCCAGGACCAUCCCACGGACGGAUGCGUGCGGGCGGGGAUGCGGGGAGUGGCCCGCCGUGCCGUCGGCGCG
This 154-nucleotide ribosomal RNA is filed under the name Nervilia shirensis. Its description in RNAcentral is "5.8S ribosomal RNA". Lineage: Eukaryota; Viridiplantae; Streptophyta; Magnoliopsida; Asparagales; Orchidaceae. The record is from RNAcentral.